CAUGCACGCCACUUUCGUUAAGCCAAGUGGUGUGUUAUCUGUACACAUUUUUAGCUAUCCACGUGUAUGUCUACUGUAUACAGCAGGCGUACACAUACACGCCACUUUACUCGCCGU
Etheostoma cragini (Arkansas darter) is the source of this 117-nucleotide long non-coding RNA. RefSeq lists it as uncharacterized. The record is from RefSeq and is a predicted model, not a curated record. NCBI's taxonomy places the organism in Eukaryota, Metazoa, Chordata, Actinopteri, Perciformes, Percidae. The transcript has 3 exons.